CCUAACAAGAACUUUUGUAAAUCAUCUUUCCUGGCAAUGGAGUAUAGAGAUUAGGGGACCAACUGUAUCAUCAUCCACAGCUUGAUAUGACCCCCAGCUCUGCCAGUGGCUAGCUGGGUGACUUUGGGCAAGUUACUUAAGUUCUCUGCACCUUCUUACCCUGCCUCUAACAUGACGAUCGCCCCAGCACCUACCUCAUAGGCCUAUUAGGAUAAAUAAAUAAUGCAUGUCAAGAGCUGAGCACAGGGCAUGGCUCACAGGAAGCAUUUCAUAAGGGUUAACUCGUGACUACUUUUUAUUGGCAUAAUACUUAAAGGUUGACCUUAGUAAUUUAUCUUGAUUUUCAUACCUGUAAAAUUUGAAUGAACAAAUGUGGUAAGACUAAAGGGUUUACUGCAAAUUUUCUAGAGAAUAAUUGGUUCCCUAAGUGAUCAGAAACAUUUGCUAAGGAUAACAUGAGGAACGACAGGGAGAAAUAUCACAUAGGGCUAAUGAAAAGGCAGAAUCUCUGAAUGGAGAUGAACACUCCUAGAUAUUGUGAGAUAAACCAAAAAGCGGGAGAGUGUGAUUGAACUUGUGCAUCAGUGAUUAGCGUUGGAUAGGAUUAGCAUGCAUAAACACAGACUUUUUGGAAAAGCCCCUUGAAAAGCUAUCAGAACUAAAAUAUGAUAAUAGUCAACACAGUCUGGCCACCAGAUGAGGUAUUCUGCUGUUUGAUAAAUUUUAUAAAACUGCAGACCUUAUUUUAAACUAUGUGGAACUAUUCCAAGGACUGAUUGCAGAGUACAUGAAUAGGUAUGUGUGUCUGAUAAAAUAGCUGAAAUAAGGACAGGAUUGGAAGGACAUUGAAGUAAAAUUGGCACGUGUUGUUCCACAUCUAAAGGCUGGAAGCCAUUUGGGCAGAGGCAGAAUCUCGGCUCAGAGUCUAGCCCUGCAGGACCCAGUGUGGCAGCUGCGUGUCUCUGGAGCACUGGAGACGAGGCUACUGCAAAUUAAGAUCUGCUGUAAAGAGCAUCUUCCUGGUUAUUCUCUGGGACGCAAAACCAUGGUGGCAUCUGAUCUCAUCACACUUCUGCCAGGAGGUGAAAUCGAAGAGGCUACAUUCUUGAUGCUCAAUGUCUUCUUCAGGUCAUUUGCCUGAGGAUACCUGGGGAUACUGAGACCCUAGAUUUUUUUUCCCCUGACUCAACUAGACUGUCCUCAGCAGCUGAGAGAAGUGUUGUUGGCCAACAUAACACAAAAGAGGCAAAGAAAGUAGAAAAGUGAUGUAAUCUGAAGCCAUGUGGAGUCUGAGGCCAAGAAAUUGUGAUGGAAAAACACCAGGGAUCCUCACCUUGACUAUGACCCAGCUUUGAGUGUUGAAACGGAGUGUGUGAAGACACUGCACAGUUCUUUGGCGAACGGGCUAGUUGGAUUAGCAACCUUCUGCUUGGAGAAGCUUCUGCCACUGCUUCUAUGAAAAGAAAACAUUUGGAAGAUCACUGAUUCCUUCAUGGAGAGGCUGACUUGGGAAUAGAUGACGUGUCAAAGAUUGGCAUCAACCUUGAGUGCUUAUUUGUGGACUUGAGAUACAGAUAAAAAAAAAAAAACCUCCCUAGAGUUAGGGCUACUUGGGAUACAUGCUAUAUCCCAAGGAGUUCUCAGUUUGAGGUCAGCCCCAGCUCUACAACUCACCAGGAGAGUGCGCGAGGAUGAGGGAGAGACAGCCUGCUCUGGUUCUCUUCAAGGUGACAAUGACACCUGUUGACAGUUGAGAAUUCCAGCCAGGAAUACAGAUUUAGGAAUCAUGUUUCUCACUCUCAUGAUGACAUAGAAGAGAUGCGUCUGAAUCUUUCUGCCAGUGUGUUAAAGCUAUUCUGAUAUUGACUGUAGUUCUGAGCUUUGUCUCUAUCCCACCAAACCACUAACUUCUUGAAAUUACUUGUAGACCAAGAUGAGAGGACUCCGUGUGUGGCUCCAUAUGAAUGACUUAUCGUGCCUGUCCAGAGGCAGGGAAAGGAGAAACAAUCUUAUUUGAGAAGGGAGGAUAUCACUGCGGUGGUUGUGAAAUCGUGUUUGGAAGCUAGAUUGCUCUAGACCACUAAGCUCUCUUCAUGUGACAAAGAAACUUCCUAAAAUACUAAAAGCUAAAGGAGAUUGUUAUCUAAGCUUGAGAUGGAAGGUUGCCAGCAGAAACUUGGAGGAUCACAGCCAGUCGCCUGGGAUUGACCACAGGCAGUGGCAGAGGCAGAAGGCAAAAGACCAGUUGCAAUUUUCCAGGUAAAAGAUGGAGGCUGUUGCAAUAAUCCAGAAUCCUGAAUUGAGCCUGUGUUCCCAGUUCCUAGAAACCCUCAAGGUUAUUGGUUUCCUCCUCGCUUAACAGACCAGUGGAAGAAAUCUACCUCCAGUUCUAUCUUCACAUGAGCAACUGUUUACAGUUUACAAUAUUACUCUGAAAAUCAGUUCUUUUCAAGUUUUAUCUAACACCCACCAGAAGAAACAGAAGAUUAUGAAAAUGGAAUUUGUCAAAGUUCCUCUCCCAACAAUAUGAUAUUUAAUUUUGCUAACAUUUUUUUUGAACACUUACUAUAUUGCAGACAAUGGUCUAAGUAAAGCACUUUAUGUGCAUCCUAUCAUGUCAUCAUCACACAGCCCUGUGAGGUAGAUACUAUUAUUAUUAACUACAUUUCACAUUAAAAAAAACUGAGGCUUAGAGAGACUAAGUAAAUUUUCCAAGGUCACACAGCCAUGAAGUGGCAGAGCUGUGGUUAAAACCUAUGUCUGUCUGAAGUUUAAGAUUUUGCUGUUAGCAUUACUUUGAAAUGACAAUAUGAGGGCAUUUUAUGUAUUUUUUUGCCCCAAUAUGAUCUGCAGAAACUAUGUAUUUUAAGUACUACAUUUCUUUUAUUUACCAAAUUAUUGUCAGAUAAGAAACCGAAAUAAAAGUUUACAGGGUCUAGGAUUCCUCCAUAAUGAAUGAACUUUGGGGUAUUUCAGUGACAAAUCGGCUUUAACACGAUCAAAUUCCAUCCUACAAUGAAAGUGUGUUAGUUUGUGGUUUCAAGUUUAAAAACAGCACUGUAUUGUCUUCCAGAAAUAUAUAAAUAGAAAUUCAAUAAGUAUUUCAAUGAAUACAGAUAAAAUUAGUUUUGUUAGAACAUCAAAUAUGUGGGUUUCAUUUCUUAGCUCAGCUUAGAAACUGUAAUUUCAAUUUUUUUUAGCAGCUGUGGUAAAUUUUGAGAUUUGAAAUUUCAUAUAAUAUAAAUCCUCAUUUAUUGAGCAUUUAAAUUAUAUGCCCAACAAUUUACUGUGUACAUUACUUCACUUGUUCUUAACUAUAACUCUAUAAAAUAUUAUUGUCCUUGAUUUAUAGAUGAAGAUAUUGAGACUCAGUUAAGUAACUUGCUUGAAAUUCAAAAACGUUAACUGUGGAAGGCAGUAUUUGAACCCAGUGUUCAAAACCCCAUGCUCUUUUUAUUAUAUGACCUUAUUUCCUAUUCAGUCUUCAGAAGAUAUAUUGUCUUAUUAGAUUAUUCUCGUUCUCUAAAUAAGUGACCUUGGGCAACUAUCUUUUUCCCUGGUAUUUUCCCCUGCCUUUAAAACAAUGUGAUCAAACUGGAAGUUUUUCAUGAUCUCUCUUAGCCCUAAAGCUCCUUGGUUCUGUAAUUCCACAAAUAGCCCAUUUCAAAAAUAAUUCUACAGUAAUCAGUGGGACUCCUGUUUUUCUCAUCUUUUUUUUUUUGAAACAGAAAAUUGAAACUUUUAAAUUAGUUUAGUAAAUACAUCUACUAGUUUUUUUCUUUUAUAGUCAUGGUUAUAUUAUUUGGUCCUUCUUAGUUGCAACAUGUUUCCUUGCUGUCAAUUAUAAUACCUCUCAUCAACAAUAGCCUGAAGAAAUAGAUUUGAAUUGCUUUCCCUAAUUUAUAGCUGGAAAACUAGGCUAUGCUGGUAUCUUAAAUUGACUUUCCUGAGGUCACGGGCACUCAGUGCCAAGAAGAGUUGGUACCUAUGCAUUUGAAAUUUCUGGAUUUCUGGUCUUACUCUGUACUUAGUCACUCUUUUCUUUCAUUUGGCCCUAUGGUGGGCAAACUACAGCCUACAGGCCAAUUCCAGCCUACCAUCUGUUUUUGUAUGGUCCAUGAACUAAGAAUGGUUAUCACAUUUUAAAAUGGUGGGAAAAAAAGACUAUUUUGUGACAUAAAAAUUAUAUGAAAUCCAAAUUUCAGUGUCUAUAAAUUUUGUUGGAAUAUAGUUACCACACUCAUUCUUUUAUGCACUGUUUUUGGCUAGUUUUCUGCCUCAACAGCAGAGUUGAGUAGGUGCAACCAAGACUGUAUGGCCUACAAAGCCUAAAAGUUUGUUAUAGAAAAGUUUGCUGACCAACUCUAUUCGUUGCUUAGUAUUGCUAGGCACUCUGCAAGUCACAGGGAACACAGCAAACUAGACACAUGACUGCCUUGGGCUUAAGAAGAGGUUUCUAAACUUUUGAAUAAAAAACAAAACAAACAACAAACAAAGUUGGAGGGACAUAAAACUUCCAAAUAUUAAUUUUGCCAGUGGGGUUUGUUUGUUUUUUUGUUUGAGAUGGAGUCUUGCUCCGUCACCCAGGCUGGAGUGCCAAUGGCGCGAUCUCGGCUCACUGCAACCUCUGCUUCCUGGGUUCAAGCAAUUUUCUUGUCUCAGCUUCCAGAGUAGCUGGGAUUACAGGCACCCGCCACCACGCUUGGCUAAUUUUUUUGUAUUUUUAGCAGAGACGGGUCUGGUCUCGAACUCCCGAUCUCAGGUGAUUCGCCCAGCUCCGUUUCCCAAAGUGCUGGGAUUACAGGCAUGAGCCCCAGUGGGUAUUUCUUAAAAACACAGCUACUAUUUUCACUCAUCAUUUUAUUUAAAAAAGGAGUAUGUUAAUACAAAAAAGUAUAUUAAUGCCAAAUUUGUAGGAAGAACAUAAUCUCAAAAAGCACUCUUUCAAAUGGAAUAUAUUAAGCUUCAUGAAAAACUUUACAUGGUCAUUGUUUUUCUCAUUUCAUUAUGGAUCAAAGUAAACUUUCUAGACUGGCCUAUAUCAUCAGACCAGCUUUGGGAAGCACAGGAGUAGUUCACAUUGUUACUUUUCAGGCAAAACAAUCUUUAAAAAUGUUUAGUCUUUAUAGUGAUAGAAUGCUUUAGUUUGAGAAUUUAACAGCUAGUAGCUUUUUUUUUUUUUUUUUUUUUUUUUUUUUUUGAGAUGGAGUCUCGCUCUGUAUCCCAAGCUGGAGUGCAGUGGCGCGAUCUCGGCUCACUGAAACUUCAGCCUCCCGGGUUCACGCCAUUCUCCUGCCUCAGUCUCCCAAGUAGCUGGGACUACAGGCGCCCACCACCACGCCCGGCUAAUUUUUUGUAUUUUUAGUAGAGAUGGGGUUUUACCAUGUUAGCCAGGAUGGUCUCGAUCUCCUGACCUCGUGAUCCGCCUGCCUCAGCCUCCCAAAGUGUUGGGAUUAUGGGUGUGAGCCACUGCGCCAGGCCAACAGCUACUAACUUUUUUAAGUCAAAAAUAGAAAUAUAGUGAUGGGAAAUUCCAGAAAAGAAAUACAAAGGAAAAUGGGGAAGUAAAGAAAUCUGCCAAUAUUCACUCUCCCCUAACAGACAUUGUAUCCCAUUAGCCCUGUGUUUAGAUGGAGGAUAAUCCAUUUUAGCAUUGAUUUUUCAUCCUGGCUUCUCCAUAGACAAAAAGAAGAUCAGAAUACUUUAUCUAUUGAAAUAUUGCCCUCUUCACUGCCACUAAGCCACCUUCAACAAACACAUGCACUCACUAAAAACCACAGCAUCAUCUCAAAACCAGAGCCAUCAAAAGAAAUGUGAAUUCCCAUGGAUGAAAAGCCCAUCCAUCAAUAAGGAUUCGAAGUUGGGAAGUGAUAGUUUCCCACUUGCUUUAGAAAGUUUGCUAAUGCUUCAUGACAGACUGCCUAUUUUGCAAUAACUAAAAUGACAGAAGACUAGAAAUUAUCGCUUUAUCUUAUAUGUCCUUAUUCCUGCAGUCUAUGUUAGUGUUUAUGUCCUGAAUGCAUUUUUUUUUUUUUUUUUUUUUUUUUGAGACGGAGUCUCACUCUGUCACCCAGGCUGGAGUGCAGUGGCGUGAUUCCGGCUCAUUGCAACCUCUGCCUCCCAAGUUCAAGCAAUUCUCCUGCCUCAGCCUCCUGAGUAGCUGGGAUUACAGGCAUGCGCCACCACGCCCAGCUAAUUUUGUAUUUUUAAUAGAGAGGGGAUUUCACUAUCUUAGCCAGGCUGAUCUCGAACUCCCGAUCUCAAGUAAUCCACCUGCCUCAGCCUCCCAAAGUGCUGGGAUUACAGGCGUGAGCCACCACACCCUCCUGAAUGCAUUUUAUAGAACACUAUGCAUAGGAUGUAAUGUUUGGGGGAAAAACAUGAUUCUGUGCUCAAAGAACUACGAGAAAUACUUGGUUAAGCAAAAUCUCAAGGAUUACUUAACACAGGAUUUCUCAGGAUCUAUAAUAUGCUAUUGUCCAUUUAAAGCAUAUACUCAUGUAUAAGAUUCAGAGGCAAGAAAGAGAGCAAGGCACAUAGGAAUGCUUGAGUUUAGGUUACUGAAGUGAACUACUUUAUUUGGCCAUUUUAGCACCAACAAUUAUAGAAGAAUAGGCCAAUUAUUUUUAUUGACCCAGAUAAUUCUGGGUCUCUGUUGAAAUUGUCUUUGAUAGUUUUCUGGUUUCAUAUCAGCUUUUGAACAGUUUAUUUUUAUCAAUAGAUUGUCAUUUUUCUUAAAUACUUUUCCUCAUUUAAUACAUAUUCCUGCCCUGUAAAUGCAGAUAUCAUCUUUUAAUGUUUAAGAAAUCAUCCUUAAAACUAUGAUUUUCUAAUGUGAAAACUGCCUAAGGACCAUGGAUUAAUGCAGCUGCUGAAAAUCCAAGAGGAGGUGAAACAAUAGGUUUUAUAAUUAAUGCAUUUAUCAACUAGAGUAGUUUUGACUUUGAGUAACAGGAAACCCCAUUAAUGUAGCUUAAACAAAUAGGUUGUUUUUUCCCUCUUUAUGUGAUGAGUAGUUGGGAGGUGGGUACUCUGGAGGUGGGUGUUGUGGCUCGUGGGUGUCACCAAGCUACCUGGCUCCCUCUGUUUUCCCAUCCAGCCAUCCUUAGCAUGUGGUAUUCAUCUUCAUGACUGCAAGAUGGCUGCUGCUGCUCCAUGCAUUGCAUCCACAUUCAAGGCAAAAGGAAUAGGGAAAUGAAGGAAGCAGAAGGUGUGUGUCAGCAGUUGUCUCUUUAUUAAAAAAAAAACAACAACAAAAAAACACACAAACCUUUCCAAAGCCCCAGCCAAUACACUUCCAAGUGUAUCUCAGUGGUCAGAAAAGUGGCACAUGGCCACCACCAGCUGUGUGAAAACCUAAGAAAUUAAAUUCUUUAGUUGGGCACAUUGGGGUUCUGCUAGAAACGUAACCUAAGUCUGGAGCCAGACUACCUUUUGAGAAUCUCAGCUCUGCCACUCAUUAGUUAUAUGAUUUUAGGUGAUUCAUUUCACUUGCCUCCCCUGUAAAGGGAGAUAAGAUAAUAAUAGGGUUGCUAAGUAUUAAUUGAGUUAAUAUUUUUAAAGUGUUUAGAACUGUAUCUGGUAUACAGUAAAUGUUAUAUAAGCACUUUCAAUAAAUGAGUAAGGUAAAGAGUGAAUAUUAGGUAGAAAAGUGGCAAGCAUGAAAUAAAUCAUGAAAACUGAAAAUAAAAAUAUUGCUAACAUGUAAAACUUGUGUAGAACAAAUGCUAUGAGUUUCACUAAUUUCUUGAGCCAAAGAAUGUUAAAUAGGUGCUGCUACCUCCCUUAAAGAACUAUGAGCCAGUGGCUUUAUGAGGAUAGAUUAUUCUUUUUUCUUUAAGGAAACUGAGAAUUUUAUGUCUGUUUCAAUCAACUGCUUCUACAUAAAUUGUAGGGCCUGUGAUUUAAAGCUAAAGCAAAUUAGAGGCUUGUAUAAUUAUUGACAUAUUUGGGACAUACCAGCAACAAGCCCUGGAAAACCACAUACAGCUCAUAAGGAGCGAUAAUGAGAUCGCUCCUCUGUCAUUCAUAUGUGAUCUCAUUCAAGUUUUAGGUGUUAGGCUAUUAUUAUUUAACAAUGUUUUUAGACAUAUAAAAUGUAUUUCUGUAGAUAUUUUAUAUGGAUGUAGUUAUUUAAGCCAGAUAGAUUUGAAUUCUAAGUCUAGCUCUAUCAGUAACUACAUUAGGCAUCUUACUUCUCUAAGCUUUAGUUUCCUUACCUGUAAAAUGGGGAUGGUAGCAGCAUCUAAUUCUCAGGAUUGUAGUAAACAUUAAAUAAAGAAAUGUAAUAGAGUGCUUAGCACAGAUCCCGUUACAUAGCAAAAGCUUAAUAAAUAUCAGCAUCACUGCCAUCAUCAUUAUUUUAUUAUUAUUAUUAUUUUUGAGACAGAGUCUCAUUUUGUUGCCCAGGCUGGAGUGCAGUGGUGCGAUAUUGGCUCACUGCAACCUCUGCCUCCCAGGUUCAAGCGAUUCUCCUGCCUCAGCCUUCCGAGUAGCUGGGAUUACAGACGUGUGCCACUACGCCCAGACAAUUUUUUGUAUUUUUAGUAGAGACGGGUUUUCACCAUGUUAGCCAGGAUAGUCUCGAUCUCCUGACCUCGUGAUCCACCCUCCUUGGCCUCCCACAGUGCUGGGAUUACAAGCAUGAGCCACCGCGCCGGGCCCAUCAUCAUUAUUUUUUAAAAUCAACCUUUAAUGAGGUUUACACACAAUAAAACGCACCCAUGAGUUUUGACAAAUGCAAUGCUUGUGUAACUACCACCAUAACUGAGAUAUAGAACAUUUACAUCAACCUUAAAUUGUUAUUUUAAAAUAGGAAAACUGGUAUCUUAUCUAGUAAUAAUAAAAAGGAGAAGUCACUGUGCAGCACAAAAUAUGGUAUCAACCAUAAAAAAGCAUGAAUAAGUGCUAACUAGAAUUAUGGGGCCAUGAGAAUGUGGCAGGAGGCACAUUCAUUGUGAGGGAGUUGGGGACAGGUCAAAUGCACUAUACAUUAUUUAUACAUUAUUGCUUCUGCCUGUGCAGCAGUGAUCCCCGUUUUCCCUGUUAAAUGCGCUGUGCUUGUCCUUUGGUGGAACAACUUCACCCCAGUACUUUACGUUUUUGGAGUGGGGCUGUUUUAUCCUUGACUCCAGUCUUGUCAUUUCUGUUGGAAUUCUUAGAAAACUCUCUUCCUGCUAAUAUUGCUGGGCGUAAUUUGGAGAAGCUGAGAGAGUCACUGAGACUGAAGCCACCACAGACAAAGGUCAGCUUGGGGAUGGAGAGAGAAACCUGUGCUGUUAUCAUCUUCUAGAUCCCCAGAGGCUGCCUUGAAGCUGGAUCUACCCCUGAACUUCUCAGUUACAUAAAGACCCAUGAAUGCUUCAUCAUGGAUCAGAUCUGUUCACAAGCUGGUGUUCAGGAACCAAUGUGUGACUGGCCCAUGCCCACUUCUGAUUAUAUGGACUCAGAGACAAUGUACAUGGGAGUGCUUUGCCAGUGGUAAAGUUUCUACAAAUGGGAGGUAAUUGCAUGGCAGGUGUAAAGUUAUUUGGACCAUUGAGGCCAGAAAAAAUGUAGAUUUAAAAUAUACUGAUACUGAAAGCAGAACUGUUUGAACUAAUUGCUAAUUUUAAGGAAUUCAGACAUUCAUCCAAAGGAUUUAGGCCAAAUGUUGCCUAAAUUGUUUCUCUAUUUCAUAUGAAAGUGAUUUCUGCGGCUUAACUGUUCUCUUCUAUUUAUGUGCAUGGCCAUAACUGAUGUUGUCACAUGAGUCCCGUUUCUUUCUUAUUAAACAUGUGUCCCGCUCAUUGAUGUUCAGCACCUUUGAAGUUCCAAUUGCUGUUCUAAGCUGGGGUUGCUGCAUUGAAUAAUACAAAAUCUCUACCCUUAUGAGCAGAUUUUCUGGGAAGAGAAAGACAACUGCACCCUCCAUGCGCCAGUUUCUGUACUGCUGCAUUCUUCUUUUUUUUUGAGACAGUCUCACUCUGUCACCCAGGCUGGAGUGCAGUGGUGCGAUCUCGGCUCACUGCAACCUCUGCCUCCCAAGUUCAAGCGAUUCUCCAGUCUCAGCCUCCCAAGUAGCUGGGACUACAGGCAUUCACCACCACACCCGGCUAAUUUUUUUACUUUUAGUAGAGACGGGGUUUCACCAUGUUGGGCAGCCUGGUCUCGAACUCCUGACCUCAAGUAAUCUGCCUGCCUAGGCCUCCCAAAGUGCUGGGAUUACAGGCUUGGGCCACCACACCCAGCCUGUAUUGCUGCAUUCUGAUUCUCUCUUUCUAGUAAUACUGCUGAAAGUGUGGGAGGUUUUUUGUGGAAAUUCCAGAUUAAAUUUAUGAGAAAUUUACACAUUAUUCACAUAUUUACAUAUUUGUCUGUGAAUGGGCAUAUUAAGUUAUAUGUUUGUGCCACACAGAGUUAUUAAUAUUAUCUCGGUAAGCUGGUUCAAGUUACAACUCUGGGCCUCAAUUUCUUAUCUGAAAAAAUGGGAACUAUCAUAGUACCAGUCUCACCCUGUAGGGAUUAUAUGCAUGUAAAUAAUUUUUUUGUUUGUUUUUUGAGACGGAGUCUCUCUCCGUCACCCAGGCUGGAGUGCAGUGGCACGACCUCAGCUCACUGCAAACUCUGCCUCCUGGGCUCAAGCAAUUCUUGUGUCUCAGCUUCCUGAGUAGCUGGGAUUAAAGGCGUGUGCCACUAUGCCAGCUAUAAAUGCAUGUAAAUAAUUUACCAUAGUGCCUGGCAUAAACUGAGAGCUUAACAAAUGAUAGCUGAUAUAUUAUUGUUGUUAUUAUUAAUACAUAUAUAUUAUUUUACGCA
Pan troglodytes (chimpanzee) is the source of this 10797-nucleotide long non-coding RNA. RefSeq lists it as uncharacterized. NCBI's taxonomy places the organism in Eukaryota, Metazoa, Chordata, Mammalia, Primates, Hominidae. The record is from RefSeq and is a predicted model, not a curated record. The transcript has 8 exons.